RNAcentral lists this long non-coding RNA (719 nucleotides) under Arachis ipaensis. Its description in RNAcentral is "long non-coding RNA (AIPA_LNC002188)". The record is from RNAcentral. Lineage: Eukaryota; Viridiplantae; Streptophyta; Magnoliopsida; Fabales; Fabaceae.
GGAUCCUUCUGAUGGCAGCUUGGAUGGCGGCAAAGAGACUCACAGUGACCGUAUAACCUGGCACAGACAAUCUCAGCAACAACUCUCACGGUAAAGGUAAACUUAACGGAUAAAGAAACUGAAGCAGGAUUAGGGCUUACCAACAGAGGAUUCAGAGAGGCGGCGGUUUUCGGCAGCAGAGGCGGCGGUGGGGCAGCCGCAGCUCCGGUGACGCUCCGACGUGGUGCUUACAUCGAAAGCAGAGGCAACCACCAGCCACGGCGCCAACUAGGAACGGCCUUGCGUGGCGGUGCACAGUCCGACGAUGGCUCGGCAGUGGCGAGGAGUGGUGACGGCAUGAACGGCGAUGAAGGUGGCUGGCUUCAACGACGACGAUUUCCCUCAGCGGCGGUUCAGACGAGGACGGCGCCAGAGAUCUCCCUCUCACACGUUGUCUCUCUUCUCAGCGACAGAAUAGCUCCCUCACUCUUGCUUUCUCUCCUUCCUCGACGGCGGUUCGGGGACAAAUCGGUGGCAAGCUAGAUGCGGCGAGAUGGUGACGCAGCGGGACACGAGCGGCGGUGGCGGGACCCAGUGGCGCCGGCGCAACCUUCCUCUUCUCUUCUUCCCCCUCGUUUCUCUCUUUCUCUCUGCCAUCCCUUUUCCCUCUCUUUUUCUUUCCUUUACUGCUGCUGCUUUGUCUUAGGUUAGGUUAAGAAGGAAGAAAGGGUAAAUGGCGG